AUGGUAAUAGCUGACUACGGGAGCUUAUGAGUACACCUAAAAAAUAUAAUGUUGCCCCUUGCUUCUUCUCUGUUUGCACAGGCUGGGAUCAGAACUGGGGUACUGAAAUAGAUCCUGGAUUCCCAAAAAGAGAUGAAGAAGCUGCCAUCAGCUGGAAGCUUGUGAGCCUUUGAACCUCUUCUUGCUCCCAGAUUCACUUCCAGAGGACACUUCUGGGGGAAGAAUGGUGUUUUCUCUAACCCCAUGAUCUCUCUUGUCUAAACUCAGCACUUUUGAAUCCUUUGAUGACCUUGCCAAAAAACACUUAAGUGGAGUCACUUCUCUGAGACCACCACUGCAGUCUUGUAAGGGAGUCAACAGACUUGGCAGGUUUUUUCCCCUAACAAAUGCAUUGUGAGCAUUCCAUGAGAAGUCAAAGGCUGCUUGAGAAGAUAGAACCUGAUGCACUUUACGUAUGAUGUCAAUGUGAUCAGUCUUAGCAAGAGGUUCUUUCUGAGAGAUAUUUCAAAUGUACUAUAGGCAGUUAGGAAAGAAGAAUGUAUUUUCCACUGAAAAUUAAUUUUAUUUCAUUUUAAAAGGCCAAAAUACAUUUGUGGCUUUACUAUUCUUGAGAAUUCUGCUCCAAACAGAGGUUUCCAGCUUAUUUCCAGCCCAUCAACUCCCACUGAUGCAAUGUGGGUUGUUUACACUUCCUACUGGGAAUCUUAAUAUUUUCACUGUCUUCAAAAAUCACCUUUGUGCAGCUGAGGUGUUUUUCAAAAUUCAAGCAAAACCCAAGAGACCACUUUAGAAUUCCAAAUUUCCUACAUUCUUAUCAGCUUUUUUUCUUCUUGGUCCUGGUUUGCACUUAUCUUUAUUCUCAACUUGUUCCUUAGACAGCAUACUCUUUAAGAAGAUUUUGGCAUAAAAUACAGCUGAGAAGGAAAUAAUGUAUAUUAAAAAUAGCAGGGAUUCCACAUACAUGAAAGGCCUGCACUCACUUGUUUUUAGGUGCAUUUACAUUUAUUCUUCACUCCAAGAUGUAGAAGCUUUUAUGAAAUACAAAAUAAAAAAAGAAAAAAUCACAGCAUAUGAACUUACAAGACACCUUUAACUGCCUGUACCCCUACUAGGUCUCAUAUCAGGCUAUUCCCUAUAAAGACUAAAUGGAUUUUUUUCCUUUGUAUUUUCCUUAAUACCUCAUUUCAACUCACCAUGAGAAAAAUGAAAAAUGUUAUGUUAGUACCUCCAAGUCAUCAGAUUAGAGUCUGUCA
This is a non-coding RNA of Cyanistes caeruleus (blue tit), 1253 nucleotides long. NCBI's taxonomy places the organism in Eukaryota, Metazoa, Chordata, Aves, Passeriformes, Paridae. The record is from RefSeq and is a predicted model, not a curated record.